Molecule: unclassified non-coding RNA, 179 nt
Filed under: uncultured fungus
Lineage: Eukaryota; Fungi
Description: sequence contains ITS2
Source: RNAcentral
UCCUCUCUCAAACCCCGUGUUUGGUGUUGGACCGCGUUGGACCGCCUCCAUGGGCCAACUGGUCUCAAAGACAAUGACGGCGUCCCAGGGACCCUCUUCGCACUGAGUUCUCCGGAGCACGCGUAGAGUUUCAAGGGCCCAGGGACCCGGUCGCCUCUCGAAAGAGAAAACUUUUUUCA